Molecule: long non-coding RNA, 261 nt
Organism: Ficedula albicollis (Collared flycatcher)
Lineage: Eukaryota; Metazoa; Chordata; Aves; Passeriformes; Muscicapidae
Exons: 3
Source: RefSeq, a predicted model, not a curated record
CUGGGACGAGGAUUUUGCUUUCAGAGGAAGAAGCAAGAGAAGGGAACACGUGAGAUUGUGCAGCGUUGUGUCCGUGAACUUCCAGAGUUUGCAUUAAAAAGUGACAGAACAUCAGAGUGCCAGAAGCUCCUCAUAUUGUGGCCCUGACGGUGCCCUGAUAAUAAGUGCCAAGCAGUUACUCUGAGUUGCUCAAGAAACGCUUUGGGGAGAAAGCACUGCAAAGUAGAAGGUGGAAGCACUGCAGGUAGCAGCAAAUACCUC